UGCAAGUCGAACGGUGAAGCGAGAGCUUGCUCUCGUGGAUCAGUGGCGAACGGGUGAGUAACACGUGAGUAACCUGCCCCAGACUCUGGGAUAAGCCUUGGAAACGAGGUCUAAUACCGGAUACGAGACGAGAUCGCAUGGUCAUCGUCUGGAAAGAAUUUCGGUCUGGGAUGGACUCGCGGCCUAUCAGCUUGUUGGUGAGGUAAUGGCUCACCAAGGCGACGACGGGUAGCCGGCCUGAGAGGGCGACCGGCCACACUGGAACUGAGACACGGUCCAGACUCCUACGGGAGGCAGCAGUGGGGAAUAUUGCACAAUGGGCGCAAGCCUGAUGCAGCGACGCCGCGUGGGGGAUGAAGGCCUUCGGGUUGUAAACCCCUUUCAGCAGGGAAGAAGCGAAAGUGACGGUACCUGCAGAAGAAGCGCCGGCUAACUACGUGCCAGCAGCCGCGGUAAUACGUAGGGCGCAAGCGUUGUCCGGAAUUAUUGGGCGUAAAGAGCUCGUAGGCGGUUUGUCGCGUCUGCUGUGAAAACCCGAGGCUCAACCUCGGGCCUGCAGUGGGUACGGGCAGACUAGAGUGUGGUAGGGGAGACUGGAAUUCCUGGUGUAGCGGUGGAAUGCGCAGAUAUCAGGAGGAACACCAAUGGCGAAGGCAGGUCUCUGGGCCACUACUGACGCUGAGGAGCGAAAGCAUGGGGAGCGAACAGGAUUAGAUACCCUGGUAGUCCAUGCCGUAAACGGUGGGCACUAGAUGUGGGGCUCUUUUCCAUGAGUUCCGCGUCGCAGCUAACGCAUUAAGUGCCCCGCCUGGG
RNAcentral lists this ribosomal RNA (813 nucleotides) under Demequina sp. BR-40. RNAcentral's name for it is "bacterial SSU rRNA". It matches the Rfam family "Bacterial small subunit ribosomal RNA", at positions 56 to 877 of the family's 1533-position model. The record is from RNAcentral. Lineage: Bacteria; Bacillati; Actinomycetota; Actinomycetes; Micrococcales; Demequinaceae.